GAAAUGCGAUAAGUAGUGUGAAUUGCAGAAUUCAGUGAAUCAUCGAAUCUUUGAACGCACAUUGCGCCCCUUGGUAUUCCAUGGGGCAUGCCUGUUCGAGCGUCAUCUACACCCUCAAGCUCUGCUUGGUGUUGGGCGUCUGUCCCGCUCCCGCGCGUGGACUCGCCCCAAAUCCAUUGGCAGCGUUCCUUGCCCCCUCUCGCGCAGCACAUUGCGCUUCUCGAGGGCGGCUCCGGGACGCGAUCCAGCAAGAUGACCACCGUCUUUGACCUCGGAUCAGGUAGGGAUACCCGCUGAACUUAAGC
Molecule: unclassified non-coding RNA, 305 nt
Filed under: plant metagenome
Description: partial contains 5.8S ribosomal RNA, internal transcribed spacer 2, and large subunit ribosomal RNA
Rfam family: 5.8S ribosomal RNA (bases 1-105)
Source: RNAcentral